CAGUCGCCACGGUAAUACGUAGGGUGCGAGCGUUAAUCGGAAUUACUGGGCGUAAAGCGUGCGCAGGCGGUUUUGUAAGACAGGCGUGAAAUCCCCGGGCUCAACCUGGGAAUGGCGCUUGUGACUGCAAAGCUAGAGUGCGGCAGAGGGGGAUGGAAUUCCGCGUGUAGCAGUGAAAUGCGUAGAUAUGCGGAGGAACACCGAUGGCGAAGGCAAUCCCCUGGGCCUGCACUGACGCUCAUGCACGAGAGCGUGGGGAGCAAACAGGAUUAGAUACCCCCGUAGUCCCUGUCUCUUAUAC
RNAcentral lists this ribosomal RNA (301 nucleotides) under uncultured bacterium. RNAcentral describes it as "partial 16S ribosomal RNA". It matches the Rfam family "Bacterial small subunit ribosomal RNA", at positions 509 to 807 of the family's 1533-position model. The record is from RNAcentral.